UACGGGGGGGGCAAGCGUUGUUCGGAAUUACUGGGCGUAAAGGGCUCGUAGGCGGCCAACUAAGUCAGACGUGAAAUCCCUCGGCUUAACCGGGGAACUGCGUCUGAUACUGGAUGGCUUGAGGUUGGGAGAGGGAUGCGGAAUUCCAGGUGUAGCGGUGAAAUGCGUAGAUAUCUGGAGGAACACCGGUGGCGAAGGCGGCAUCCUGGACCAAUUCUGACGCUGAGGAGCGAAAGCGUGGGGAGCAAGCAGG
This 253-nucleotide ribosomal RNA is filed under the name uncultured bacterium. RNAcentral's name for it is "partial 16S ribosomal RNA". It matches the Rfam family "Bacterial small subunit ribosomal RNA", at positions 524 to 776 of the family's 1533-position model. The record is from RNAcentral.